GUGGAAACCACCAACCAAUUGGAAGGUGACUAGGGUGAAUAUAGCCCAAGGAACUUGCAAAACUCUUUGGAGGGCCAAGGAGUAAAGGACUUCAUUCAGGGUGUGACAUGGUGGGCCACACCCAUCAACAGAAUCUCAGCCAGGGCUUCAGAACUAAUGUAAAAAGUGAAAAAAUCUUAUAACUCAGUUACAAAGACUUAGUUUUACUGCUAAUAAUGAACGUGGAACUUAUAGUCCUUUGCCUUCUACUCUGUCCAAAUCUGAUGAGUUAUUUUAGCCUAGAAAGUUCCAUAAAAUGUAUACCACCAAAAAGAAAAAUUCUGACUGCAGGGAAGCAGUACACUCUGUAGACCCCGGAGAAAAAUAAAUCACCAUGAGAUUUGACAACAAUCAAUUUUUCACUGCACGCUAAUCAAGCAGAUAGAAAGAAGGCCAUGUAUAUGCGGACUUCACAGAAUUUUCCAUUUUGCCUGAACCAGUGCAAGCCAAGCACAAUGUGACUCACACAGCUGUCUACAUUGGACAUCAACCACAAACAGACUCAUAGCCCAAGGCCCAUUUGGAAGAGUCCUCUUGGCUAACCACUGAUAGAGAACAGCCUGGAGCAGCCUUGAGAAGCCCCUGUGGUGAAAACACAUCAAUGUCAGCUUUAAACUGGGGGCUUGUUUUAAGCGUAAACUAAUUUUUCCAGUUUCUCCCUUACUUUACCUUUUCAUAACCAC
Molecule: long non-coding RNA, 722 nt
Filed under: Homo sapiens (human)
Lineage: Eukaryota; Metazoa; Chordata; Mammalia; Primates; Hominidae
Description: HSALNT0249378
Source: RNAcentral